CCUACGAGUGGCUGCAGUGGGGAAUAUUGCACAAUGGGGGAAACCCUGAUGCAGCGACGCCGCGUGAGUGAAGAAGUAAUUCGUUAUGUAAAGCUCUAUCAGCAGGGAAGAAAAUGACGGUACCUGAGUAAGAAGCCCCGGCUAACUACGUGCCAGCAGCCGCGGUAAUACGUAGGGGGCAAGCGUUAUCCGGAUUUACUGGGGGUAACGGGAGCGUAGACGGCAGUGCAAGGCUGGAGUGAAAGGCGGGGGCUCAACCCCCGGACUGCUCUGGAAACUGUACGGCUGGAGUGCAGGAGAGGGAAGUGGAAGUCCGAGUGUAGCGGUGAAAUGCGUAGAUAUUAGGAGGAACACCAGUGGCGAAGGCGGCUUACUGGACUGUAACUGACGUUGAGGCUCGAAAGCGUGGGGAGCAAACAGGAUUAGAUACCCCAGUAGUC
This 440-nucleotide ribosomal RNA is filed under the name uncultured bacterium. RNAcentral describes it as "partial 16S ribosomal RNA". It matches the Rfam family "Bacterial small subunit ribosomal RNA", at positions 338 to 795 of the family's 1533-position model. The record is from RNAcentral.